AUCGCUUCUCAGCCUUUUGGCUAAGAUCAAGUGUAGUAUCUUCAUGCAUGUAUCUUACAUAGUUUAGAUAAUACCUAAU
RNAcentral lists this small nuclear RNA (79 nucleotides) under Equus asinus (donkey). Its description in RNAcentral is "U2 spliceosomal RNA (ENSEASG00005030795.1, ENSEASG00020002181.1)". It matches the Rfam family "U2 spliceosomal RNA", at positions 1 to 102 of the family's 192-position model. Rfam says of the family: U2 is a small nuclear RNA (snRNA) component of the spliceosome (involved in pre-mRNA splicing). Complementary binding between U2 snRNA (in an area lying towards the 5' end but 3' to hairpin I) and the branchpoint sequence (BPS) of the intron results the bulging out of an unpaired adenosine, on the BPS, which initiates a nucleophilic attack at the intronic 5' splice site, thus starting the first of two transesterification reactions that mediate splicing. The record is from Rfam by way of RNAcentral. Lineage: Eukaryota; Metazoa; Chordata; Mammalia; Perissodactyla; Equidae.